ACUCAGUAGCUGAAUGGAUGAAGCGAUGGCGUUUGAAGAGAAUGGUACUGGGUUCGAGUCCCAGAGUGGACA
Molecule: transfer RNA, 72 nt
Filed under: Schistosoma mansoni
Lineage: Eukaryota; Metazoa; Platyhelminthes; Trematoda; Strigeidida; Schistosomatidae
Source: RNAcentral